GAAGGAGGAGCUUGCUUCUCCGGAUGAGUUGCGAACGGGUGAGUAACGCGUAGGUAACCUGCCUGGUAGCGGGGGAUAACUAUUGGAAACGAUAGCUAAUACCGCAUAACAGUAGAUAUUGCAUGAUAUCUGCUUGAAAGGUGCAAUUGCAUCACUACCAGAUGGACCUGCGUUGUAUUAGCUAGUUGGUGAGGUAACGGCUCACCAAGGCAACGAUACAUAGCCGACCUGAGAGGGUGAUCGGCCACACUGGGACUGAGACACGGCCCAGACUCCUACGGGAGGCAGCAGUAGGGAAUCUUCGGCAAUGGACGGAAGUCUGACCGAGCAACGCCGCGUGAGUGAAGAAGGUUUUCGGAUCGUAAAGCUCUGUUGUAAGAGAAGAACGAG
Molecule: ribosomal RNA, 390 nt
Filed under: uncultured Streptococcus sp.
Lineage: Bacteria; Bacillati; Bacillota; Bacilli; Lactobacillales; Streptococcaceae
Description: bacterial SSU rRNA
Rfam family: Bacterial small subunit ribosomal RNA
Source: RNAcentral